Molecule: long non-coding RNA, 700 nt
Organism: Colossoma macropomum (tambaqui)
Lineage: Eukaryota; Metazoa; Chordata; Actinopteri; Characiformes; Serrasalmidae
Exons: 3
Source: RefSeq, a predicted model, not a curated record
GCUGGAUCUCUGAUGGCUCCCUCAUGGAUCUCUGCGUCUCUCAGCGAGCGUUGCAGCCAGGUUGCCAGACUCUCUUGCAUUUGUGAUUCAGCCGCUGAGGCGUGCAGGAGUGGCUCCGCUUCACAAAGUGCACUGUGUCUUCGGAGCUGUGCUUGAAACGAGGGGAAAAGAAGGACACUGAAGACACGUGGAGGAUUGUGAAGAGGAACAUCAGCCUUUGCAUGUUAUUAAGGCGGAGGAGCAUGGCUGUCCAUCGUCUGUGCCUACACAUACUGAAUCCUACAGCAGCGCUGGGCUCAGAGAGAGGCCUGAAGCAGGAGGUUUAGCCAGAGGGGGGGGUUAAUUGAAGUCAGCCAUGUGGACCACUCCUAGUCCAGUGCAUCAAGAUUUUGAGUGUUCCUUUAAAAACAUCUUGAUUGUUGUGCAUCAGACGAGGAAGGCACAUGAACAGCUGUGAAGGGAGGAAACUAGGACGCACUUUUUUUUAGUCAAAGCAGAUCAGGAGGACGUGCACUGAGAAGAGGAAGGGCUGAGAUGACAGAGUUGGAUGGAAGAGGAGGAAUGAAACUCUGUUUGUUGUGUCGCUCUCAUCCUCAGACGGGGCUUUGAAGCCUCUCUAUCAGUGGUGUGCACACACACCUCAGAUCAGAGCAGGAGAAGCUGAUUUAACGGAGCCGUCUGUGCGUCAGCUGUCCUGCUA